GUAUGUUAUGGACAUAUCGGAUUAAUAUUUUGCACAUGUGUCUUACAAUGUUGUUACAAAGUGAAUUCUUUUUCAAACAAUGCCACAAGACCGUUUAAACAUGUAAUCAUGAUAUAAACAUUGAUAGUAUGCAAUUUAUGUUCAUCAUACUACACACUUCCCACGCUCUAAUAGGAUAAGAAACAGUGUCUAUUUACCUCGGUAUAGUCAUUUUCGCAAAUGUAGGAAGCAUGAUUAAAUCAUUAUUAUCUUAUGAAAUAUGCCUAAAUGUUACAAGUUAUAUUCAAACUGCGAUGUCAAAAGAUAAUUUCAUGUAAUUUGUGUUAAGGUUAAUUAACGGUAUACCGCCAUCUUGGAUUGUAUAAUUGCAGUACAAAAUUGGUCUAGUUAUAUGCCCAAAUCUGCAAAUUUGGAAACAGAUUUGAAAUCUAAUGGUUAGACUGUUUAUCUAUAUAAAGAAAAAAAA
This 466-nucleotide long non-coding RNA is filed under the name Mytilus galloprovincialis (Mediterranean mussel). The record is from RNAcentral. Lineage: Eukaryota; Metazoa; Mollusca; Bivalvia; Mytilida; Mytilidae.